CUGAACCCAGCUGGGUUUCCAUGAAGAGUGACCAGUCAAUAGAUGAUAUAAUCAACUUCAGUUCAGGAGACUUUUCUGCUGAUCUGAGGAAACUCAGCAUGGAGGAAGAGGAUGAAGGCCAGAGAAAAUUCAAACAUGGGUUUCCGAACAUCACAUUGCUUGUUCAGAGAAAGUUGAAUCAAAUGGACCUCACUACUACGCUACAGAAAAAUCUUGUUCCUGUGUCUCCACAAAAACACAAAUCCAGACUGGGAGAGAAAUUCCAGUUGCUAAAUGACGGAAUAUCAUAUCAAGGGAACUUAACACUUUUGAAUGAGAUCUAUACAGAGCUCUUCAUCACGCAGGGAG
Molecule: long non-coding RNA, 348 nt
Filed under: Sinocyclocheilus anshuiensis
Lineage: Eukaryota; Metazoa; Chordata; Actinopteri; Cypriniformes; Cyprinidae
Description: lncRNA (ENSSANG00000050548.1)
Source: RNAcentral